Long non-coding RNA from Actinia tenebrosa (Australian red waratah sea anemone), 327 nucleotides. RefSeq lists it as uncharacterized. The record is from RefSeq and is a predicted model, not a curated record. NCBI's taxonomy places the organism in Eukaryota, Metazoa, Cnidaria, Anthozoa, Actiniaria, Actiniidae.
GUCAAAACUGGAGUGUUCUUUUUGUGCCCUAAGUAUAUGCGAUAAAAGAUCAAGGGAAACCUCAAUCGAAAAAUGAAUAUCGUAUCUUCAUCACUGUGGAGCAGCUUACGAUCAAGAGAAAUGAUUCAGUAGUAGCAGUGCUAGUUGCUGUGAUGUCAAUUAACUAUUGUCAUUACUUUACCAAUCGCCAUUUGCUGAUGAAACAAAGCAACUCGUGCACGUCACAGUGGUCUCAUAAGGCAAUAAAAUUUGGACAAGAAGUGAAGUGAAGCGUCCUAGUAGUAGUCAGAGUGGUGUAAGUAAAAAUGACACGCCAUAUAACACCAA